RNAcentral lists this ribosomal RNA (385 nucleotides) under uncultured bacterium. RNAcentral's name for it is "bacterial SSU rRNA". It matches the Rfam family "Bacterial small subunit ribosomal RNA", at positions 29 to 414 of the family's 1533-position model. The record is from RNAcentral.
AUUGAACGCUGGCGGCAUGCCUUACACAUGCAAGUCGAACGGCAGCACGGGAGCAAUCCUGGUGGCGAGUGGCGAACGGGUGAGUAAUAUAUCGGAACGUGCCCGGUCGUGGGGGAUAACGUAGCGAAAGCUACGCUAAUACCGCAUACGAUCUACGGAUGAAAGCGGGGGAUCGCAAGACCUCGCGCGAUUGGAGCGGCCGAUAUCAGAUUAGGUAGUUGGUGAGGUAAAGGCUCACCAAGCCGACGAUCUGUAGCUGGUCUGAGAGGACGACCAGCCACACUGGGACUGAGACACGGCCCAGACUCCUACGGGAGGCAGCAGUGGGGAAUUUUGGACAAUGGGCGGCAAGCCUGAUCCAGCAAUGCCGCGUGCAGGAUGAAGG